UACGUAGGGUGCAGGCGUUAAUCGGAAUUACUGGGCGUAAAGCGUGCGCAGGCGGUCUUUUAAGUCAGAUGUGAAAUCCCCGGGCUUAACCUGGGAACUGCGUCCGAUACUGGAAGGCUUGAAUCCGGGAGAGGGAUGCGGAAUUCCAGGUGUAGCGGUGAAAUGCGUAGAUAUCUGGAGGAACACCGGUGGCGAAGGCGGCAUCCUGGACCGGUAUUGACGCUGAGGCGCGAAAGCCAGGGGAGCAAACGGG
RNAcentral lists this ribosomal RNA (253 nucleotides) under uncultured bacterium. RNAcentral describes it as "partial 16S ribosomal RNA". It matches the Rfam family "Bacterial small subunit ribosomal RNA", at positions 524 to 776 of the family's 1533-position model. The record is from RNAcentral.